Long non-coding RNA from Raphanus sativus (radish), 1458 nucleotides. RefSeq lists it as uncharacterized. The record is from RefSeq and is a predicted model, not a curated record. The transcript is spliced from 7 exons. Lineage: Eukaryota; Viridiplantae; Streptophyta; Magnoliopsida; Brassicales; Brassicaceae.
GAGACUUUUCUCUCUUCUAAAGGCGUCCACGUCAGACUUUUUUUAAUGAUAGUAGGAUCCACAUUUGGUUUGGUUUGUCUAUCCGGUUUGGUUUAGUUAUUAAAUACAUAUGUUUAUGAUUUAAUUGCAUAAACAAAGUGACGAGAUUGUUCUUCUUCGGCUUCCAAACGUUUUUUUUUCUGUUCUUCUUCUUCAUUCUCCAUUUCUGUGAACCGUCUUUAUCAUCUCCACGCCCUACCAAGCGAUCUAAGGAUAAGAUCAAUACCGCUAUUGAAACUCUUUGGCGGCGGCGGCAGAACCGUGAGGUCUUCCUCGGCGAGCGAGGUUCCGGUUUAGAAUCAAGGAUCAGAAUCUGGAGAGACUGAGCUUGGAUCCUCUGAUCCCCAAGCUAUGGAUGCAGAGAAGCCUGUUUUAACUGAUGUGCCUGUGAUGGAGAUCUAUCCUAAAGCCGAUGUCUUAGCGACACCUACUAAUUGGCUUGAUUUGAGAAUAGAAGAAAAGUUUGGAUUUUUUAAUAUAAUUAAAAAAAGGAAGAAGAUGGGUUACAUAGGAGCACAUGGGUUAGCAGCUCUUCAUAGACACGAAUACAGUGGUGUGGAUCACUGUUAUCUUGCCAAAUACGUUCUCCAACCUUUUUGGAAUUGUUUUGUCAAAAUCUUCCCUCUCUGGAUGCCUGGUGACAGAUGGUGAGAAGUCGAACGGGGAAGAAGGGAGCUAAGGCUCCAUGGGCGAAGCUACUUUCUCAGUAUUCUCAGGCAUACUAUGAUGCACCAGGGGUUUAGUAAAUUUAAGUUUUUUUUCCAUCUCAAGAAAAUUCUUAAAAGGAAAUAAGGAAAAGAAAACGUUGCUUAUAUUGGUUGAUUUUAUAGGAUGUUUGAAGAGAUUUCAAAAGCACCCUCGAGCAUGAAAUUGGCCCUGAUGAAAUCUCAACGCCAGCUGUCUCCAACCAGAAUAGAAUGAACAGUGCUCGCCCUCCUCCACCACCUGUUGGAAACAUUAAAGUCUUGUGACUGCAAGUGAGCCCAAUGAUGCUCAAUCACCAAAAGCUUACACAACCUAGGAUUACCUCAAGAUCACUGAAGAGCAGCUCAAAGCUUCGUCUCCUGGUAAAAGCCAAACAGAGGAUCAAAUUCAGACUCAAGAACCUGCUGUACAAAGCCAGCCUAAAGUUACAUCGAGAGAGACCAUGGCUGCAUCUCUCCUCCAAAGCAAGAUUGAAAGGCACCCAAAAAUUUGACUCGUCAUGUUAAAAGCACAGAAGCCUCUCUGUCUAUUGGGCGGCGAGAGUAUGCACAUUUUUUAUUUGACUAAGGAGACAGCAUUAGCUCUCAGGACAUUGUCAGGAAGCAUUAUAUAUUGUGCAGUCCUUAUGAAUUGAAAAUAUGAGGGUGUGUGACUCAUAUGUGUAUUUAUGUUCUAUUUGUUUCCUAUUUAAUGAUUAUAAAUGGGGUUUGUUAG